RNAcentral lists this ribosomal RNA (253 nucleotides) under uncultured bacterium. Its description in RNAcentral is "partial 16S ribosomal RNA". It matches the Rfam family "Bacterial small subunit ribosomal RNA", at positions 524 to 776 of the family's 1533-position model. The record is from RNAcentral.
UACGUAGGGCGCAAGCGUUGUCCGGAAUUAUUGGGCGUAAAGAGCUCGUAGGUGGCUUGUCACGUCGGGUGUGAAAGCUUGGGGCUUAACUCCAGGUCUGCAUUCGAUACGGGCUGGCUAGAGGUAGGUAGGGGAGAACGGAAUUCCUGGUGUAGCGGUGAAAUGCGCAGAUAUCAGGAGGAACACCGGUGGCGAAGGCGGGUCUCUGGGCCGAUACUGACGCUGAGGAGCGAAAGCGUGGGGAGCGAACAGG